Molecule: ribosomal RNA, 460 nt
Filed under: uncultured bacterium
Lineage: Bacteria
Description: partial 16S ribosomal RNA
Rfam family: Bacterial small subunit ribosomal RNA
Source: RNAcentral
CCUACGGGUGGCAGCAGUGAGGAAUAUUGGUCAAUGGUCGAGAGUCUGAACCAGCCAAGUAGCGUGAAGGAUGACUGUCCUAUGGGUUGUAAACUUCUUUUAUCAAGGAAUAAAACGUGGCACGUGUGCCCUUUUGCAUGUACUUUAUGAAUAAGGAUCGGCUAACUCCGUGCCAGCAGCCGCGGUAAUACGGAGGAUGCGAGCGUUAUCCGGAUUUAUUGGGUUUAAAGGGAGCGUAGAUGGUUUGUUAAGUCAGUUGUGAAAGGUUGCGGCUCAACCGCAAAACUGCAAUUGAUACUGGAAGUCUUGAGUACAGUUGAGGUAGGCGGAAUGCGUGGUGUAGCGGUGAAAUGCUUAGAUAUCGCGAAGAACCCCGAUUGCGAAGGCAGCAUGCUAAACUGAGACUGACAUUGAUGCACGAAAGUGUGGGUAUCAAACAGGAUUAGAUACCCCAGUAGUC